This 69-nucleotide transfer RNA is filed under the name Pseudolabrus sieboldi. Its description in RNAcentral is "tRNA-His". It matches the Rfam family "tRNA". From Rfam's summary of the family: Transfer RNA (tRNA) molecules are approximately 80 nucleotides in length. Their secondary structure includes four short double-helical elements and three loops (D, anti-codon, and T loops). Lineage: Eukaryota; Metazoa; Chordata; Actinopteri; Labriformes; Labridae. The record is from RNAcentral.
GUAGGCAUAGUUUAACGAAAACGCCAGAUUGUGAUUCUGGAGAUAGUGGUUAAACCCCUCUUGCCCACC